RNAcentral lists this long non-coding RNA (1846 nucleotides) under Mus musculus (house mouse). RNAcentral's name for it is "RIKEN cDNA 2610316D01 gene". The record is from RNAcentral. Lineage: Eukaryota; Metazoa; Chordata; Mammalia; Rodentia; Muridae.
GUGAGUGUGAGAGCAAGAACAGCCCGCAGGUCCCGAGGCGCUUGCAGGGGACUCUGCCGCGGAAAGUUCCCAGUCCCCAGCCGCAGAAGCUUUUUAUUUUUGGUUGAUUCCUGCUGUCUACUCCUCUUGGAUGCCUUUGUGAAACUGCUUCUAUCUGAGAAGGAGGAGUUGCCAUUUAGCAAGUAGUAGGUGGUACCGUGUGUGGCAGAGUCCGAUGUGUUACACCACGAGGACAUUCAUCUUUGCAAUUGGUGAAGUCCUUCUACCUAGUUCCCCUUCCUUGUGCACAGAAGAGGACUGGAAAACUCCUCACAGGACUGCAUACUGCUAUCUCUGAGAAACCAGAAAGAAGAAAGUACCUCUUCCUUCCAAGCUUCUACCUAAGAGUAUACUGGAAGGUUUACCUAGAGCAACAAGACAACGAAAUGGAUUGUCCUUCUCACGCUAGUCCACACACAAUCCUCAUCAUUUUGAUAAGAUAGCAUGAAGUCUCUUAUCGCUUGUGGAUCCAGCACUUUGGUUCAGUUUGGACAUGCACAUUCCGGAAAGAUUUGACUGAUUGCAUACCCAGCAUUAUAAUGUCUCCUAGAGUAUCUUUCCUAUGAGAAACAGCAAGUUGGAGAGGAAAGAGUUUAUUCAGCUUGCACUUUCAUACUGCUGUUCAUCACCAAGGAAGUCAGGACUGGAACUCAAGCAGGUUCAUCUGCCCAUAAUUCUCUAAGAUUUGGAGCUGUUGAGGAGUGGCUCAUAGUAGACACUGAACCAUCAGCCAACAGCAUUUGUUGUCCUGGAUGUCUGUGCCAACCUUUCGAGUCACACUGGGGUCUAAAGACACACCUGGAAUAAAAAUCAGAAUGCUUAAGAAACUUAAUAUGAUCUGCGGGAGAAUACAUGAGGUUUUUGUUUCAUACCACAGUCUGAUGACAGCAUGGAUUUCAACUGAUGAUGUUCACCUUUGCCUCUUGGGUAUGUUGACCUCACAGUCGUCCCCUGAUAAGACUGCUCUUUUCCUUGGUGUUUAAUAAAUAAGGGAAUCUACACGGAGAUACUACAAAUAUUCUAUCUUACCUAAACUUUAUCAACCAAGUUUAAAGUUUGCUGGCAUACUGUGUUAGUGUAAGGACAGUUACUACUUUCUGUACUAAUUUCACAUUUUUCUAAAAGAGGAUUUAUUCUUACCCAUGCAUCCGUUUGUUGUUUGUUCAAAUUACCAUGGAAUUGAUCUACAAUGUUAAACUAAUACCAUCAUUAUUUAGCUGAUUUUCACUAGGUCAGAGCUAAGGCUGAUUUUCUCCUGUUUAAUUUUGAAAUGUUCCCAUGUGUUUGUUUUCUGUUGUUAGCAUAUUUUAAACUCCCAUGAGCUUCAGGCUUAUCGUAUUCUGUAUAUGUACCAGGCUUGGGAUCAACUAUCAGUUGUAUCUCCAAGGAGCCCUUGUCCCUUCUUUUGAAAGUUGGUUCUUAGAAAGUAUUAACAUAAUAUUGGUACACCCUUGGAUUUCAUUACUUCUAUUUCCACGCAAACAAAAAGAUGGUGAAGAUACAUAUAUGCACUGUGGUGGCUUGAGAAAGAAUGCUCCUCACAUUGACUUAUAUAUUUGAAUACUUGAUGCUCCAUUAGAACUCUUUGGGAAGGAUUAGGAGGUGAGGCCUUGUUGGAAGAGGUAAGUCACUGGUGGCCAGCUUUGAGGUUUUAAAAGACUGGUGCCAUUCCUAAUGUGCCUCUCUCCCUCUUUUUCUUCUAGGUCAAUAUGUGAGCUCAGAGAUUUCCCUGCUUUUGUUCUGUCAUUAUGGAUUCUAAACUUCUGAAACUACAUACUCAAUUAAAUGUUUUCUUUUAUAAAUUAUA